GGUGCAAGCGCUAAUCNGAAUUACUGGGCGUAAAGCGCGCGUANGUGGUUCGGCAAGUUGGAUGUGAAAGCCCCGGGCUCAACCUGGGAACCGCAUCCAAAACUACUGGGCUAGAGUACGGUAGAGGGUGGUGGAAUUUCCUGUGUAGCGGUGAAAUGCGUANAUAUAGGAAGGAACACCAGUGGCGAAGGCGACCACCUGGACCGAUACUGACACUGAGGUGCGAAAGCNUGGGGAGCAAACAGGAUUAGAUACCCUGGUAGUCCACGCCGUANACGAUGUCGACUAGCCGUUGGGCUCCUUGAGAGCUUANUGGCGCAGCUAACGCAUUAANUCGACCGCCUGGGGAGUACGGCCGCAAGGUUAAAACUCANAUGAAUUGACGGGGGCCCGCACAAGCGGUGGAGCAUUGUGGUUUAAUUUCGAAGCAACGCGAANAACCUUACCUGGCCUUGACAUCCUGCGACUUUCAAGAGAUUGAUUGGUGCCUUCGGGAACGCAGAAGACAGGUGCUGCAUGGCUGUCGUCAGCUCGUGUCGUGAGAUGUUGGGUUAAGUCCCGUAACGAGCGCAACCCUGUCCUUAGUUACCAGCGAUUCGGUCGGGCACUCUAAGGAGACUGCCGGUGACAAACCGGAGGAAGGUGGGGAUGCGUCAAGUCAUCAUGGCCCUUACGGCCAGGGCUACACACGUGCUACAAUGGUCGGUACAAAGGGUUGCCAAGUCGCGAGGCGGAGCUAAUCCCAGAAAACCGAUCGUAGUCCGGAUCGCAGUCUGCAACUCGACUGCGUGAAGUCGGAAUCGCUAGUAAUCGCGAAUCAGAAUGUCGCGGUGAAUACGUUCCCGGGCCUUGUACACNCCGCCCGUCACACCAUGGGAGUGGGUUGCUCCAGAAGUAGCUAGUCUAACCCUCGGGAGGACGGUUACCACGGAG
Molecule: ribosomal RNA, 933 nt
Filed under: nitrogen-fixing bacterium MU4
Lineage: Bacteria
Description: bacterial SSU rRNA
Rfam family: Bacterial small subunit ribosomal RNA
Source: RNAcentral